UGGUUCUGGCAUNGAUGAAGAACGCAGCGAAAUGCGAUAAGUAAUGUGAAUUGCAGAAUUCAGUGAAUCAUCGAAUCUUUGAACGCACAUUGCGCCCUAUGGUAUUCCGUAGGGCAUGCCUGUUCGAGCGUCAUUACACCCCUCAAGCUCUGCUUGGUCUUGGGCUCCGCCUCUGGGCGGGCCUCAAACGCAGUGGCGGCACCCCCGGGUCCUGAGCGUAGUACAUCUUCCGCCACGGGUCCCCCGCGAGUGCUGGCCAGAACCCCCCCACUCUCUUGAAUUUGACCUCGGAUCAGGUAGGGAUACCCGCUGA
RNAcentral lists this unclassified non-coding RNA (313 nucleotides) under uncultured fungus. RNAcentral describes it as "partial contains 5.8S ribosomal RNA and internal transcribed spacer 2". The stretch from base 1 to 133 matches the Rfam family "5.8S ribosomal RNA", at positions 22 to 154 of the family's 154-position model. Lineage: Eukaryota; Fungi. The record is from RNAcentral.